This 1498-nucleotide small RNA is filed under the name Pongo abelii (Sumatran orangutan). RNAcentral's name for it is "retained intron". Lineage: Eukaryota; Metazoa; Chordata; Mammalia; Primates; Hominidae. The record is from RNAcentral.
AAUCCGGGGGGAUUAGGGGAGCCCGAGCUGGGGGAGUGGCCCUGUCCCCUUCCACGCCCCUCUUGGCGGUCCUAUGUCGGAGACCUCCAUCUACCGGCCGGGAUGGCUGGGGCCUGGGCGCUGUUCUCCGGCCCUUCCCGGGAAGGGGAGGGGGUUCCCGCCAGUUUCCUGCCUCCCCCCGCGCCACGCCGGGGCGGCGCCGGGAAGCCACUCCUUCUAGGAGCGCAGAGCCUUGGCGCUCCCUGGGAGUCUGGUCGGCGGGCUGUGGGGUCCCAAAAUCGUGACCCCAGCCCCUCUCCCCUCCUCCCCCACCAUCUCCCAUGUCAGGAUCAGUUCGAGGUGCUCGAGCGCCACACGCAGUGGGGGCUGGACCUGUUGGACAGAUAUGUAAAGUUCGUGAAAGAACGCACCGAAGUGGAACAGGCUUACGCCAAACAACUGCGGAGCCUGGUGAAAAAAUAUCUGCCCAAGAGACCUGCCAAGGAUGAUCCUGAGUCCAAGUUCAGCCAGCAACAGUCCUUCGUACAGAUUCUCCAGGAGGUGAAUGACUUUGCAGGCCAGCGGGAGCUGGUGGCCGAGAACCUCAGUGUCCGUGUAUGUCUUGAGCUGACCAAGUACUCACAAGAGAUGAAACAGGAGAGGAAGAUGCACUUCCAAGAAGGGCGGCGGGCCCAGCAGCAGCUGGAAAACGGCUUCAAACAGCUGGAGAAUAGUAAGCGUAAAUUUGAGCGGGACUGCCGGGAGGCAGAGAAGGCAGCCCAGACUGCUGAACGGCUAGACCAGGAUAUCAACGCCACCAAGGCUGAUGUGGAGAAGGCCAAGCAGCAAGCCCACCUUCGGAGUCAUAUGGCUGAAGAAAGCAAAAACGAAUAUGCAGCUCAACUGCAGCGCUUCAACCGAGACCAAGCCCACUUCUAUUUUUCACAGAUGCCGCAGAUAUUCGAUAAGCUCCAAGACAUGGAUGAACGCAGGGCCACCCGCCUGGGUGCCGGGUAUGGGCUCCUGUCGGAGGCUGAGCUGGAGGUGGUGCCCAUCAUAGCCAAGUGCUUGGAGGGCAUGAAGGUGGCUGCAAAUGCUGUGGAUCCCAAGAACGACUCCCAAGUCCUUAUAGAGCUGCACAAGUCAGGUUUUGCCCGCCCGGGCGACGUGGAAUUCGAGGACUUCAGCCAGCCCAUGAACCGUGCACCCUCGGACAGCAGUCUGGGCACCCCCUCGGAUGGACGGCCUGAACUCCGAGGCCCGGGCCGCAGCCGCACCAAGCGCUGGCCUUUUGGCAAGAAGAACAAGGUGGGGGCCGGGACCCUUGGGAUGGUGGGGGGAGAAGGACAGUGAAGUGGGGACAGUGGGGCCCCUAUUGAGUCAGCCCCAGCCGCCUGAACACCGAGUCCCGGGCAGGAAUUUUCCUCUUGGCUGCCAGCCUGGGCUGGAGGGAAGGAAGGUGGGCGGGCCGAUUGGCCUGGGAGUCCCCCGAGGCAAAGGCGGGGGCAGGGUGGGGAGG